AAUCAACCUUCCCUGCAACCUUUAGAAAGCAAUACACCAUUGGAAAAAGCUGACUUAAGAGCUCUUUAAAGUUCAUUGAAAAAAAUUUACUUAAUUACUUACUAAGAAGGACAACUCUAACUUGUCCUUAAAUUCCAUGUGUGAAGGCAUGAAUUAAAACAAACCAAAUGAUACAAGUUUAACAAAUUUAAUAACAUAUUUCAUAUAUAUACAAGGC
RNAcentral lists this long non-coding RNA (217 nucleotides) under Mytilus galloprovincialis (Mediterranean mussel). The record is from RNAcentral. Lineage: Eukaryota; Metazoa; Mollusca; Bivalvia; Mytilida; Mytilidae.